AAGUCGUAACAAGGUUUUCGUAGGUGAACCUGCGGAAGGAUCAUUAGAGAGCGAGCAUGGCGCAGGCCGUGCUUACAAGUGUGAGCGGAGAGUCGUGGGCGCAGCCCAUAUGGCGUUGCAAGCAGGGACAAUAUGACAAGUACAACUUUCAGCGAUGGAUCUCUUGGCUCUCA
RNAcentral lists this unclassified non-coding RNA (173 nucleotides) under fungal sp. Its description in RNAcentral is "partial internal transcribed spacer region". The stretch from base 1 to 46 matches the Rfam family "Eukaryotic small subunit ribosomal RNA", at positions 1786 to 1831 of the family's 1831-position model. Lineage: Eukaryota; Fungi. The record is from RNAcentral.